GAAAUGAAGCUCAGUGGUAGAGCACUUGUCUGGCAUGUUGGAGACCCUGGGUUCAAUCCCCUGCACUGCG
This 70-nucleotide transfer RNA is filed under the name Marmota monax (woodchuck). RNAcentral's name for it is "tRNA.Ala". The stretch from base 5 to 65 matches the Rfam family "tRNA", at positions 6 to 65 of the family's 71-position model. From Rfam's summary of the family: Transfer RNA (tRNA) molecules are approximately 80 nucleotides in length. Their secondary structure includes four short double-helical elements and three loops (D, anti-codon, and T loops). Lineage: Eukaryota; Metazoa; Chordata; Mammalia; Rodentia; Sciuridae. The record is from RNAcentral.